GAAUAGCAUCUCGGAAAGUUUUUGUAAGGAUCCCAUGACAUUUAUCACAAGAAGCACUAAACACAGUGUCUUGCAGACAAUGACCUUGAGGUCCAUAGAGUCAUUAUUAUUGCCACUUAAUCAUCCUGAUAGCCAGUCUCUGAAACCAAGCUUUAAGUCAAAUGACAGUGAUGGAUAUUAAAACAUAAUGUCCCAAGUGAGUUCCAAGAGGCACGUCACCUACGCUGCAGGAGAUACUUCCACUGGAAACUAUACUUCACUCAUCCUGUCUUUUGCUUUUCCAGUGGGACAUUUCUGCUGAGUUCUCAGUAGCAGAAAACCAAAGGGAUACAGGUUGAUAUUUGUAUUUGUGCCCAGCUGCUUUGACCUGCUUACUCUAAGAAUUAGAGGGAUGAAACUCUAGGAAUUAGACCUUCAUGGAAGCUGGUCUUAUGUCAUUUAACAAUGGUAGGGCAAGUUAAGGGGUGGUUUUCAUGAAAUAAUUCAGAAAAAUUCCUGUUUUCUUCAGCAGGAAACACGCUGGCCCCAGAAAGAAGAUGUUCAUAUUGCAACCUAGCUAUAUUUGUUAAUAUUGUCAUACAUUUGAAAGUGUUAUUUUUCAAUUUCCCCAUGAUGCUUUUCUUAUACUAAAUAGUAUUCUCCCUACUCACCCUGCACAGGCUUUGGAGUAUAACAAUGAACUACUCACUGUAAACAAUUAAGAAAAUACAGAGAAGUAUAAAGAAGAAAAAUAACCACCCAUGAAUAUGUACAAUUAAGAUUUUGUUAUAGAUUCAUUUUUCAACAAUUAAUUCAUGUGCCUACCCUGUGCCCUCGUGAUUUUUCACUCUGUUAUACAUGUGUGUAUAUUUACAUAUUUAAUUUAAAUUAAAAAACUGGUAUGGCAGUGUUUAAUUUCAUAUCCUCUCUUUUUCAUUUAAGCCAGAGGCUCACAGGAUCAGCUUUUGACAAUAUCAUUUUUAGGACGUGCGUAACAAUUCAUCAGGUAUUCAGUUUCAAGGAUCUCACUCAGAGCUGGCCCUCUGUGAAUGUUGCUGAUAGGUGCCUGACUGCACAGAGCUGAUGGUGACAAAGGUAAACACCACAUUAAACACACACACACACACACAC
This 1110-nucleotide long non-coding RNA is filed under the name Sus scrofa (pig). RNAcentral describes it as "lncRNA (ENSSSCG00015023415.1)". The record is from RNAcentral. Lineage: Eukaryota; Metazoa; Chordata; Mammalia; Artiodactyla; Suidae.